Long non-coding RNA from Mustela erminea (ermine), 7850 nucleotides. RefSeq lists it as uncharacterized. The transcript is spliced from 3 exons. NCBI's taxonomy places the organism in Eukaryota, Metazoa, Chordata, Mammalia, Carnivora, Mustelidae. The record is from RefSeq and is a predicted model, not a curated record.
AAUAGCUCCAUUUCUAGAAGCUGGUGUCCAUGCAUACUUGCUGUGAUUCAAUUUUAAAACAGAAAAGCAAUAUUUUUUUUUUCCAGAAAACCUUUAUCAACUUGACAGAUAUAGAAGGAGUAUUUUCAGUUGAGCAGGCUUAUCACUUCAGAAGGCAGGCAGAGCUUGGGUGAAGUUCCGUCUCUUUGUUUGAUUGUUACUAUAAAAAUAUGGAAUCAAUAUUUCACACUAGAGAAUGAUAUUUAUGAAAUAUAUUGUUCUGUGUAGAUAUAUCCCCAAUUAAUAUUUUAUAGGAACAAGGCACGCUUAAAAAACCGAUUUGGACUUUCAUUAGUUUCAUCGUAUCUGUGAAUACUUUCAGUGCAAGGCUUUCUCAAUAUUUGCCCAAACUCUUACCAGCGUGAGCAUUUCUAGAAAGAUCAUGGUUUUCCUUCUGUCUGUGUGUGGCCUUGAUGGAGACAGCCAUGCCAGUUGGGGGGCAUAUUUGUGUAAGCCGGAUUCCGUCUUGACUUGGGCAAUGAACACAUGUGUCCUCUGGAACAGUCACCUGAGAUAUCAGCCUCCCGUCAGAAUCUGAAUCAUGCAGGACGUGGACAUCAUGACUUGCUAUCAGCAGCUGCGCUCAACUGCUUUCAGAAGAGCCCGGAUCAGGUGUCUGGAGUCUGGAUGACGACCCGCUGGACAGGGAGGCUAUGAUCCCAUGCUUGGGCUGGCCUGCAGGGUGGGGCCAGGAGGUGUGGAGACACGGGCACAGGAGGAGAAGUCACAGGGCGGAACUUCUCUGGAUGGGGCCCCAUCCCACGGAGCUGUGGCCUCAGACCCCCCGGCGUCGCGGAUCUCCCGGUCUCACUCUUCCGGGUCCCCAGCCGCUUCUUCUCCGGAUCUUUUCAUGCAGACGCUGUCUGUGGUUUGCAUCACCUGUUCUUACCUCAUAGUCUGUGGGAAUAGCUGGUACCCAGUUGGGUUGCAUCCAUCAUUCAUGGGUUUUUGGUUUUUCUAUUUAGUUGUUCUGUCUGUUUCCAUGUACAAAUACAGAAAGAUUCAAAACGGUGUCGCUGUACGUCCAUCUUCCCAGAACCUUGCUCUACCUGCAGGCUUCCCAUUCUGAAUCGAAGGUAAAGCUAGCUGCAGAAUAAGAUCAAUGCCUUUCUUCCUCGGCCACAGGCGAAGGAAGAAAGCUCUGCAUACCAUGUGUUUGUCAACCUUGGCAAGAGCUAUAGAAAUGCUGAUGCCAGGGUCCUAACCUCAAGAAGCUCUGCUUUAAUUGGUCUGGGAUUGUGUGUUCCCUUGGUGGUUCCAGUGUGUAGCCAAAGUUGACAACCAGUAAUAAGAAGAAAUAAGGAUGUUUUAAAGCAUUUCAAAGCCCUUAGCAAUUUACUGAGAAUAAACCAGUUACUGUCUGUUCAGUCCGCUACGAGGGCCGUCUCCUGUCACGCUCUGGCCCUGUCUGGUCUAGGUGAGGCUGACCCACGUCCUAGCAAUGGGAGUCGUCCAGGCACGCGGAUGUGGCCAAUCAGGGGGCUCCAUUCCCAGCGAGAGAUACAUGCAUGACCCAAGCUGAACCGUGGAAAAUUCCCCCAUGACGUUUGCUAGAGUUACCAGCUCUUUUCACAGCUACUGUGACCUGCAAGAUCACUGGCAACCUUGAACUUUGCUCUUUACUCCAAAAGGAAGCAAGUCUGCCUGAGAGUGAAGCAUACAGAGGAAAGCGCUGCUGAGAGAUGGAAACAGAGACUAUCCUGGUAACUCUCCGAUGGAAUUUUUAGAGGUCCAAAAUAUCAUACGCCCCUUUGCCCAAAUUCAGAAUGAAUUGAGAAAUAGAUGUAGAGGUCGGGUAAAUGGAGAAGAAAAAGCUUCAUUACUGAGAAGCCGACUGAGCCCAGGUCUCUGCCUUCCCUCCCAAUAGAACUUUCUAACACUCUACUCCAUAGUUUGAUUUACAGCCCAUCACUGGCAUGGCUGGAACCUUAGACUUUGCUCACUGCUGUCCCCGCUCAGCACAAGGUAGGAGAGCAGACGGAAGACACAUAACCUGGUCAGACAAAACGAAGGACACCAGAGCAGCUGCACCAGCCCACAUGCCACAGCCUCUUCCCCUUCCCCAGCCAGGGCUCCUGGUUUGGCCACGUGAGUUUCUGCUGAAUUUUAACCUCCACCUGUCCCUUUCGACCUGCAAACCCAGAUCCCCUCUAACGUUGGGAAGAAUAACUGAGGAGACCGAUGCGAGGGUUCCUCUCGUGUUUGCACAUCUGGAGGGACCGACCAUUGUGUGAGUGGACCGGCUGCGUUUGAACACCGGCACUCCUGAGUUCCCCACAGUGGUCAAUAAACUACCUGUCUUUUUAUCAGGUUCUCUCCCCACUCACACCUUUUGCAAAAAGUCCCUUGGUUAAUAUCCUUUUUGUUCUUCUUUGUAGUGUCUUUACCCGUCGGCCUCCUGACCCGCAGCCAAUCUGUCCUGUUAGGCUGACACGGGGACACCUUCACCGGCACACGGUGUCCUCAAGGGAGCUGAUACAGUCACUUGUAAAUAUAUUUACAAAAGUCAAAACUUUUCAGUGUUUUACCCAAGAGGAAAUCGUCCCACACCCUUCCCCAACGAGUACAAUUUUCGGCUAUAUAGUCAAGACAAAUCCAUUUUUCAGAAGAAAUAGCCCCUGCCCUCCUUUUUCUGACCGAUUAACAAGAACCGUACAAUGUCAACAUGUAGGUAGGCAGAGUGUUUGCGCUUCUUAGAAUCUCAACGGCGAGAAGACAUCAAACAGUUUACUAUCAUUUUGCUGUAUGCCAUAACACUCCAUGUCAAUUAUAUCUCAGUAAAACUGAACAAAGAUCUCCUUAGUGAGUUUAAGCUGUAAAUAUUGUUUUGAAGCAUUACAUAAAAGGAGCUUGAGAAUACAGUGGGUUUGGGGGCGGGUGGCGGUAGCGUGCUGCGGCUUCCUGUGUGCUCUUCUCACCGGCGCGCAGUGGUUCUCUCUACAUUUCCCCUCUUUUCUUCUCUUUAACCAAAGGAAAAAGAAUCUAAAAUGUUAUUUCUAAUCUCUAAUGUUUUUCAUUGCCUAUCUACUAACUCCAUUUGAUGUUAAAAGAACACUAAACAUAAUUAAAAUUUCUUUUUGGAGGUAUGUUUUAGAAGGUCCUGAUGUGCUGCUGGAGCUCUUUUAGCUAGGAGAUAGGAGUCAAUAGCUUUCACUACAUUCCAGAAGAACCAAUGAGAAAACAUACGGGAAAAAGAGAUACCCCAUGCACAAAAGUAUGAAAGGGCAUAAAAUAUUUAUGAGAAGCUUUAACAAGAAAUGUGCAUGACGUACGUGAAGACAAUUAUAUCACCUUAUUAAAUAUGUAACGAAGAUGAAUAAUAAUAAUAAAAGUUAGCAUUGCUGCGCCGUUCAUGCUCGGUGCUGUGCUUUUUCUUUCCCUGCGUCACCUCCUUAUCUGUGAAGCAGAGAAGCUCUGCUGUAGCCAGCGCACCGCCCUUGAGCCUGACCCGGUUUACUUAACUUCUCUGGGUUUCGGUUAUAAAAUCAGGAGAGGACCAAUCCGUGCCUCACAGGAUUGUUCUAAGAUUUAAUAAGACAUUACAAAUAGAGUGCUGAGAACAGGGCCUGGCAAACAGCACCAUAGGUACCAUUACUGGAAUCACGUUACAGAAGAAGAAAAUGAUACCAUGAUGGCUAGUGGCCUUCCUAACGACAUCCAGCGAGGAAGUGACUGGGAUCCCCAUGCUGCCCUGUCCGACUCGACAGCGAAGAUCUAAAUUUAUUACCUGUUUGUGUUUCUAGAUAAGAAGGAAAUGGCACUUCCUCGGAUACUUAGUGGAGUCAUUCUAGGAUUCCUCUGAAAGAAUUAGCACGUAAAGUAUUUUAAAGGUAGAGAAAUAAUGGGAGAUAAGUCAUAUAUGGUUGUAUCAGAAAUGUAAACAUUUCUAUGUUAAAACAGAAGAUAAUAAGAGUGAUGGAAAUGUUCUCAAUCUUGAUUGUGGUGCUGGUUACACAACUAUAAUCCUAGCCAAAAUGUUUUAAACUUCAUACUUAAAAGGGUUAAUUUUUUAAAAAAUAAUAAACAAACAAAAAGCAACAAACAAAUAAAAGUAAUGAAUUUUGUGGGUGAAAAUUAUACUAUAAAAAAAUUUGGAGGGGGAAAAAAAGAACUAUAAUUAAAAGGCAAGCACUCAACCAGUGGGGAAUGUACCCCAAUAUGGCAAAGCGGUAAUAUGUUUGCUACAGCACCAACCAGAGCUAAUUCAUCAUGGAACCUACAACCCCAAUUCCAGUUCUGGGUACACACAUAGAAAUAAGUGCUUAUGUCUGCCAGACGCACGUACAGAAUGCUCAGGGUAGCCUUAUUCAUAACAGCUCCAAACGGCAAACAGCCCAAAUUGCCAUCAGCGAGAGAAUGAGUAAAUAACUUGUGGUUAUUUCCAUGCGAUGGAGGACAGAAAUGAAAACGAGCGAACAGGACAUGCAACAUGGACGAGACCCUCCGACACCACGCUGAACCAAGACGGCCGGACACGGAAGAGCACACCGCAGGUUUCCAUCUGUAAGAGGCGAAAACAGGGGAAACUCAUCUGUGAUGCCGGAUGUUAGCACAGCGGCUGCUUGAAGUGUUGACUGCUGACCAGGGGGGACGUGGGGGCGCCCCCGGGGGCUGGACAUGUUCUAUAUCUUGACCGGGUGGUGGUGAUGGGGUGGGGGGAUGUACAUAUGUAAAAAUUUGUUGAACUAUGCGCUUCAGAUUGGUUUACUUUCCUGUAUGUGAAUAAUACCUCAAAAAAUUCAAUAUGAAUUAAUAAGAUGAACACAGGACUUGAGGUCACAAAAGAAGAGAGGAACAGACUGAACUCUUACGACACCAGGCGCGUGUUCCAUCUCGGUGACCCUACUCGCACAAACAAAAAGGUAUUUCUAGAUUAUAAAACCCAUAGCUGAGCCAGAUGAGGAGGUUAGGAGGAAGACUCCGAGAUGAAGGGUUGUGGGCAAAUGAUUACCGAGGAAGUUCUUAUGGGAGAUACCGGUAAGGGGCUGAGGCAAGUAGGGUAGGGGAGGGGAAGAAGCCCGGCAAAGCUGUCAUUUCGGUAAGGUCUCGGUCUCAGCCUGGUCCCCCGGGAGCUCUGGAAUGUCAGUGACGCCGCAUCGUUUCUUCCGGCUCUAGGCAGGCGAGCUGGGCUUUGGCUUCCUCUACAAGUCCCAGCACAGGUACAAGCUCCAUCACUGUCCCACACCACAGUGGCUCCUGCAGCCCAGGACUCGUCCUCUGAAGAAGGUCACCAGUGGGUGCUGUUAACACGAAGAGUGCUUAAGUUGGGGGUAUGGGCAUGCAGAGACAGUAAAGGGAUUCUGGGAAGUCGAGGGGGAGCGUCUGUGGUGUCUGCCCCAACUGGCAGGUGGGAGGGGUCAGUUGUCAGAGGCAGCAUUGUGCCCGAGACUGAAAUGACCGGUUGUGACCACUGAGCGAGUGAAGAAAUAAAGCCAGGGAGGAACGAAUGGUCAUUCCCCAAAUGACUCUGUUCUUCCCAUGACCUUCCUGUGCUUGCAUCUAAAGUAGGUGCGCUGUGGUCAAGGUCGCAGAAGGGAUGUGGGAGAGUACGGACAAAGAAGGGAGAGCUCAUUUGUCCAGAAAACAUUCCGAUCCUGUUCACAUCUUGGAAUUUGAUGUGUCAUGUACGUGCCGAAGAGAAGCAAGCACCUGGGUUGUAGAAUGUGUGUUUGGUCACCUUCACGCCUGAUCCAGCCCUGCACGGUCACAGGCAGUCCUUUCUCUGCGGGGUCCUCUGCACGGACUGAGCUGCAUCUUCAGGGCAUCCGGUGAGAGCGCGGGGCCAGCUGUUUCCCAGAUGAGAAAGUGAGGCCAGAUGCAUUAAAUCUGCUUCUCAGUCUUCCCCACACGGCAUCGGCCGUUGUGGCAGCUUUGUAAAACACUGCUUGGACUGCCUGGAAGUGGGUCCAGUCCCUGUUUUUUAAAAAACUCCAAAGGUGAUCAGGAAGUACAGUUGGAUUUGGAAACAAAGGAAUUAAGUGAUCCUCCCAGGGUCCUGAGGAAAGAAAGAAAAUAGACCCAAACCAUUAAUUUUUUUCAUUCACCCACCUACUUAUUUCUUGAGCAUUUACUUUGUGACAAGGAUUCUGCUAAAUGCUGGGAAUACAGCACAGACAAGAUCGUCUUAAUCUCCACGGUCUCAUAAAAGGGAAACGAUCAGGGUGCUAUGUCCAUAGUUCCUAGGGCACCAUUCAGCGUUGUUGGGCAGACAAAGCCUGCAAUGACCUUGGAAAUGAGGCAGAUACUGAGCUAAUAAUUCCAAAUGUGAUGUACCUUAUAAAACUGGAGUUUUAUUGUAUCUGGGGAAUGAUAAUGUCAAUCAUCUUCACAUACAGGAGAGUCUCUGGUCAUUUUGGGCUACUGCCACUGUCUUAUUCUCAAGACAGUCAAAACUGCUAACCGGUUAUAUAUAAAAAAGUGGUCUCUUUUAUUCAAACACUGCAUAAGCAAAUGAAUAGGUCGUUGCACAAAGAUGCCUCUGACCUUUGGAUCUCAAAUUCCACAAACCAGAUUGAACUCCGUAGUGUGGGCUUUUUAUAAUUAUCUAAGCAAAAGAUAAUCCUUCAGAGAAUUUGCCUGGAGUCCAGACAGAUGCAGAACUCAGCUUUUAUUUCCAUAUUCUUCUAAUGAUUCAGUAAAGGACUGGGGAAGAUUUUUGUUUCUUUGUUUCUUUCUUUGUUUUGUUUUGUUUUAGGUAAGACCGGUGGAUAUGUGGUGUUUGGUGAAGAUAAGUAUCCAGAUUUUAAGAUUUUAAGGCCCCAAAGCAAGUGUGAGUCAUUUGUCUGAGUCCUGCUGCUGAGCGCAUGGUGACGGCAGUGGGAUUCACCUGCGCAUGGGCUUGGAGAGGAACAGCCUCCUUGGAACAGGGCAUCUCCAUGAACAGUCUUGGGAAGAGAUGUGGGGACCCCAACCCCAGCCCGCUCUCCUCUGUACAACAGCUGUCAACACAGAAGCCAUUUGCCCUGGGAAACUGGUCUCUUUGUGUUUAAAAUAUAAUGUUUCUUUAAAGCAUCCUUAGCAUAUUUUCAGUAGGUUUCAAGAUAAGAAAGAUUUCUUUUAACACUGUAUUCAUAUAGGAACCUGCCAUUCUGAUUCAGCAAUCAAACUGUUUUCUUUCACCGUUUUUUUUUUUUUAAUGCUCUUUGAGUUCAUCAAAAUCCUCAUGAGAAUCACAUCAAUUUCUUAAAAUUCUCCUUUUUUUUCCUCAGAAAUACAAUUUGUGACCUCAUCGUCUUUUGGCGGGGUGGGUACUGUAGGGGUUGGUUAAGUUCUGGAUUUCAGAGUGUUUCCCCGAAGGCAGUAUAAUGUCAACAAAGCAAGUAAUUAAACUGAGGAGGAGGUGCUGACUGGAUGAAGCCUUUGCCAAGUUGUUAACACAGCAAGUCAUUAAGCAAAGUGACUACUAAACUCGAUAAAGCAAGACUUGCCCUGGAUAAGUUACCCUGGGAUAGCAGAAAGUUGACGACAUUAGGCAAAUUUUCAUCCAGGGAAAAGGCUGAGGACAAAGAUAACUCGGCACUAAGCAACCUUUCGGAGCUGGAGAAAUGGAGAGGACCCCAAGAGGUCAGCGGGUCCAAGCCCAGCUCUUGAACACACCAUUAACUGACCCUUCUGGGCUAUAAGCCUGUCCAUCUGUUCUCAAAGUUAAUCAGAAUAGACACGCAACUUAUUUUUUUUUUAAACAGCUUAUUCCAUUUGGAAGUGUUCAAUCACUAUAUUGUAUACCCGAAACUAAUAUUACUCUGUGACUAAUAUUAUUCUGUAAGAAAUUUAAAUAAAAACUUAACAAAUAAAACCCCAGCUUAUUCUAG